AUACAGGGAAAAAUGAGAGCAACAGAGAAAAUCAACAGCCUUAUAUAUGAAUAAGGGUACAAAAGAAGUCAUACAACUGAAUGUUCGAAAACAGAGUACAAAGAAAAGAGAAUCCCAUCCAACAAGCCUGGUGGUGAUUCUCAACAAUAAAGAUCCAANGUACAAAGAAAAGAGAAUCCCAUCCAACAAGCCUGGUGGUGAUUCUCAACAAUAAAGAUCCAAGAGAUGGAUUACACACAAAUGAAUCCCAUCCAACAAGCCUGGAGGUGAUUCAGCAACAAAAUACAAAUAUACAGUCUAAGGCAGACGGUCUUCAGGGAUGAGGGUCUUCAGGUAAUGACACUGGUCUAUCAACAGUGAGCAUUCUGAACAAUCUGGUAGCGGAGUGAUC
RNAcentral lists this long non-coding RNA (391 nucleotides) under Lathyrus oleraceus (garden pea). RNAcentral describes it as "Pisum sativum (pea) long non-coding RNA (PSAT_LNC041064)". Lineage: Eukaryota; Viridiplantae; Streptophyta; Magnoliopsida; Fabales; Fabaceae. The record is from RNAcentral.